RNAcentral lists this ribosomal RNA (493 nucleotides) under uncultured Oscillospiraceae bacterium. RNAcentral's name for it is "bacterial SSU rRNA". It matches the Rfam family "Bacterial small subunit ribosomal RNA", at positions 24 to 507 of the family's 1533-position model. The record is from RNAcentral. Lineage: Bacteria; Bacillati; Bacillota; Clostridia; Eubacteriales; Oscillospiraceae.
UCAGGAUGAACGCUGGCGGCGUGCUUAACACAUGCAAAGGUCGAACGGGGGCACCCCCAAAACGGAGUUUUCGGUACAACUGCGGGGAAUGCCUAGUGGCGGACGGGUGAGUAACGCGCGAGCAACCUGCCUUGGAGUGGGGAAGUAACAGAUGGAAACAUCUGCUAAUACCGCAUGAUGCAGUUGGGCCACAUGGCUCUGACUGCCAAAGAUUUAUCGCUCUGAGAUGGGCUCGCGUCUGAUUAGCUAGUUGGCGGGGCAACGGCCCACCAAGGCGACGAUCAGUAGCCGGACUGAGAGGUUGGCCGGCCACAUUGGGACUGAGACACGGCCCAGACUCCUACGGGAGGCAGCAGUGGGGAAUAUUGGGCAAUGGGCGCAAGCCUGACCCAGCAACGCCGCGUGAAGGAAGAAGGCUUUCGGGUCGUAAACUUCUUUUCUCAGGGACGAACAGAUGACGGUACCUGAGGAAUAAGCCACGGCUAACUACGUG